GGGACAUCACCUACGAGCCAAUGAAAGU
Molecule: non-coding RNA, 28 nt
Filed under: Mus musculus (house mouse)
Lineage: Eukaryota; Metazoa; Chordata; Mammalia; Rodentia; Muridae
Source: RNAcentral